UACGGAGGGGGCUAGCGUUAUUCGGAAUUAUUGGGCGUAAAGGGCGUGUAGGCGGCUUCGUAAGUCUUGUGUGAAAGCCCUCGGCUCAACCGAGGAAUUGCACGAGAAACUGCGUGGCUCGAGUCCGGGAGAGGAUAGUGGAAUUCCCAGUGUAGCGGUGAAAUGCGUAGAUAUUGGGAGGAACACCGGUGGCGAAGGCGGGUCUCUGGGCCGUAACUGACGCUGAGGAGCGAAAGCAUGGGGGAGCGAACAGG
Molecule: ribosomal RNA, 254 nt
Filed under: uncultured bacterium
Lineage: Bacteria
Description: partial 16S ribosomal RNA
Rfam family: Bacterial small subunit ribosomal RNA
Source: RNAcentral